Molecule: non-coding RNA, 741 nt
Organism: Callithrix jacchus (white-tufted-ear marmoset)
Lineage: Eukaryota; Metazoa; Chordata; Mammalia; Primates; Cebidae
Source: RefSeq, a predicted model, not a curated record
CCAGGAUAAAAGGGCUCUGGGCCAGAGCACCCCAUCCACUCACCUCCUGAGGUGCUGAAGAACCCCGUGCUGCCUGUGAUCCUGCUCCUGAACACUCGCUGCCAAGAUGUCCUGCCAGCAGAGCCAGCAGCAGUGCCAGCCCCCUCCCAAGUGCACCCCCAAGUGUCCUCCUAAAUGCCCCCCAAAGUGUCCCCCUAAGUGCCCUCCAGUGUCUUCCUGCUGCAGUGUCAGCUCUGGGGGCUGCUGUGGCUCCAGCUCUGGGGGCUGCUGCAGUUCUGGGGGAGGUGGCUGCUGCCUGAGCCACCACAGGCGCCGCAGGUCCCACCGCCACAGGCCCCAGAGCUCUGACUGCUGCAGCCAGCCCUCAGGGGGCUCCAGCUGCUGCGGAGGGGGCUCCAGCUGCUGCGGAGGGGGCAGUGGCCAGCACUCUGGAGGCUGCUGUUGAACUGGAUCCUGAGCCUAAAAGAGCACAUUUCAAGCCAUGAAAGGGGCAACUUCAUCUUCCUUGGGCUCGGCUGUGUUGCUGGGACAUUUUAGAAAGACUUCAAACUCUGUCCUGGACGAUUCCUCUGACCUAGAAUCCAGAAAUCUGUCCUCUCACAAAAAUCCAUCUUCUGACCUCUGAUUCCAUCUGUGCACCUGGCCUGGGAACACCCAAUAGAAGGCCUUGCCUCAUUCCCCUGAUUUCCUUGGCAAUCCCCAUUGUGCAUGAAACAAUAAAACAAAUGAUCCGCUCAUCAA